Molecule: ribosomal RNA, 408 nt
Filed under: uncultured bacterium
Lineage: Bacteria
Description: bacterial SSU rRNA
Rfam family: Bacterial small subunit ribosomal RNA
Source: RNAcentral
AUGCAGUCGACGGGCUCUUCGGAGCAAGUGGCGGACGGGUGAGUAACGCGUGAGAAUGUGCCUUCAGGAUGGGGAUAACAAUAGGAAACUAAUGCUAAGACCCAAUGUGCCUUAAGUAGUGAAAAAUGAAAAUUGCCUGAAGAGGAGCUCGCGUCUGAUUAGCUAGUUGGUAGUGUAAAAGACAACCAAGGCGACGAUCAGUAGCUGGUCUGAGAGGACGAACAGCCACACUGGGACUGAGACACGGCCCAGACUCCUACGGGAGGCAGCAGUGGGGAAUUUUCCGCAAUGGGCGAAAGCCUGACGGAGCAAUACCGCGUGAGGGAGGAAGGCCUUUGGGUUGUAAACCUCAAAAAUUAGGGAAGAAAAAAAUGACGGUACCUAAAAUAAGCAUCGGCUAACUCCGUG